This 414-nucleotide ribosomal RNA is filed under the name Triticum aestivum (bread wheat). Its description in RNAcentral is "partial small subunit ribosomal RNA". The record is from RNAcentral. Lineage: Eukaryota; Viridiplantae; Streptophyta; Magnoliopsida; Poales; Poaceae.
AUGGUCUAUGACGAGGGAUCCCCAGGAUCAACAUCGUCAAGGACAAGAACGCCUGAUGAUAAUGACUACCUGAUAGUGAUUCCUUAUGCCCACAUAUUUGACCUUAUGCUAAAAGCUUUAAAGUUGCCCCCUGCAACUUACCAUCACAAGAUAUGCUCAGGCGGCGAGAAUCAUGUGACAGUUACUUUCAUUUCUUCCUUGCAAUUACUAGAUGGUUUGCUUGUUCCAAGCUCAAUAUCGGGUGCAAUUUUAGAUGGCUAUGAAGAUGCAGAAGACAGUGCUGCUAUCGAAGCUAUUAGAUACAUGGAAAAUGCAUAUGGCAGAGAAAUGAGAGACUACCACUACACCCAUGUCAAGAGGCUAGAAAAUCAAGUGAAGCACCUGGUCACAUGGUUGGUUGGUUGCAGCGAAUGA